RNAcentral lists this long non-coding RNA (391 nucleotides) under Homo sapiens (human). Its description in RNAcentral is "non-protein coding lnc-HAO2-2:9". The record is from RNAcentral. Lineage: Eukaryota; Metazoa; Chordata; Mammalia; Primates; Hominidae.
AUAUAGCACAAUUAAAGGUUUUAUUAAACAUGUAAUACUUAUUGAACUAGACAGUCCUUUGAGACAAAACCAUACUCAAAAUAGUCCCAUAUUUCUUGGAGGCUUUGUUUGUUUCUUUUUAUUCUUUUUUCUCUAAACUUCUCUUCACGCUUCAUUUCAUUCAUUUUGUCUUCCAUCACUGAUACCCUUUCUUCCAGUUCUGCCUUGGCCUCCCGAAGUGCUGCGAUUACAGGUCUGAGCCACUGCACCCAGCCAUUUGGGUUGUUGUAAGCCUUCAAGUUUGUGACACCUUGUUAGAGAAGCAAUAGGAAACUAAUACAAGUUCUAUUCACUGCAUCUUAAGAGAAGAAAGCUGGGCAGGUAAGGCAGGGACAGUUUGUUGAUUCCUUAU